AGUUUCAGCAGUUGUGCAGAACGCCACAACAGCGACAACUUUCCCAUGUACCCACUGCUCCGCUGUUCAGAUCACUUUCACAGGAUUUCAAAGUUCACCUCGACCCUGUGAGAGAAGAACAAGUAUUGUCAGCCACAUUGUGCAGGAAAUCGAAGCACCACAACUGCAUCAAAAAGUAGAGGGGCUUCUCUGGUGGUGCAGUGGUUGAGAGUCCGCCUGCCGAUGCAGGGGACGCGGGUUCGUGCCCCGGUCCGGGAAGAUCCCACAUGCCGCGGAGCGGCUGUGCCCGUGAGCCAUGGCCGCUGAACCUGCGCGUCCGGAGCCUGUGCCCGCAACGGGAGAGGCCACAACAGUGAGUGGCCCGCGUAACACAAAAAAUAAAAAUAGAAAUAAA
This is a long non-coding RNA of Orcinus orca (killer whale), 394 nucleotides long. RefSeq lists it as uncharacterized. NCBI's taxonomy places the organism in Eukaryota, Metazoa, Chordata, Mammalia, Artiodactyla, Delphinidae. The transcript has 2 exons. The record is from RefSeq and is a predicted model, not a curated record.